GUCCGUUGCGCAUGCGGUGUUGGGUGAGGAUUGGAUUGGCGCGGCUGUAGCUUCUCUGUGGCGGGACCGUUGAAUUGGAGGGUGAGCGCAGUUCGGUUGCGAGGGGCAGGGAUGGUCGAGGGAGAUCAUCAACUGAGCGGAAUAUGAGGCGAUCGGCAGCUCCAAGUCAGCUGCUGGGGAAUUCAGCAAAAAAGCCAAGAUUUAUGCCUCCAGGGAAAGCAAAUACACUUUAUCUGAAGAAGGAGCCUAGCUACUCAGACUUGGACAUUGAAGUAGCUGAGGUAGUAUUGAAAGGAGAGAAACUUGUGAAAGAGAAACAACAGACUGGUUCAACAUUCGUAAACAGUUCUUCCAGUGCUUGUGGCUUUAGUCCGAUAACGUCUGGGAAACUGGACAGAGGAGAUGCAGAAAGCUGGCAUUCGGACAUGGGAGUGAAAUCGGUAUAUAAAACUAAAACAGAUUUCUGUUCCCACAGGAUGCUAUCCUCAAUAACACUCCAACUUCCUGAUCUUGCUUUCAUGAGUUUACCCAUAAAAUUACAAAAAAGUAUACAUAAAUAACAAUACAGAU
Long non-coding RNA from Sphaerodactylus townsendi, 570 nucleotides. RefSeq lists it as uncharacterized. The record is from RefSeq and is a predicted model, not a curated record. The transcript is spliced from 4 exons. NCBI's taxonomy places the organism in Eukaryota, Metazoa, Chordata, Lepidosauria, Squamata, Sphaerodactylidae.